RNAcentral lists this ribosomal RNA (226 nucleotides) under Staphylococcus epidermidis. RNAcentral's name for it is "partial 23S ribosomal RNA". It matches the Rfam family "Bacterial large subunit ribosomal RNA", at positions 216 to 437 of the family's 2925-position model. The record is from RNAcentral. Lineage: Bacteria; Bacillati; Bacillota; Bacilli; Caryophanales; Staphylococcaceae.
GAAGAGAAAGAAAAAUCGAUUCCCUGAGUAGCGGCGAGCGAAACGGGAAGAGCCCAAACCAACAAGCUUGCUUGUUGGGGUUGUAGGACACUCUAUACGGAGUUACAAAAGAACAUGUUAGACGAAUCAUCUGGAAAGAUGAAUCAAAGAAGGUAAUAAUCCUGUAGUCGAAAACAUAUUCUCUCUUGAGUGGAUCCUGAGUACGACGGAGCACGUGAAAUUCCGU